This 484-nucleotide ribosomal RNA is filed under the name uncultured bacterium. RNAcentral describes it as "partial 16S ribosomal RNA". It matches the Rfam family "Bacterial small subunit ribosomal RNA", at positions 28 to 523 of the family's 1533-position model. The record is from RNAcentral.
GAUGAACGCUGGCGGCGUGCUUGACACAUGCAAGUCGAACGGUGAAGCAGGAGCUUGCUCUUGUGGAUCAGUGGCGAACGGGUGAGUAACACGUGAGCAACCUGCCCCUGACUCUGGGAUAAGCGCUGGAAACGGCGUCUAAUACUGGAUAUGUGAUGUGACCGCAUGGUCUGCAUCUGGAAAGAAUUUCGGUUGGGGACGGGCUCGCGGCCUAUCAGCUUGUUGGUGAGGUAAUGGCUCACCAAGGCGUCGACGGGUAGCCGGCCUGAGAGGGUGACCGGCCACACUGGGACUGAGACACGGCCCAGACUCCUACGGGAGGCAGCAGUGGGGAAUAUUGCACAAUGGGCGGAAGCCUGAUGCAGCAACGCCGCGUGAGGGAUGACGGCCUUCGGGUUGUAAACCUCUUUUAGCAGGGAAGAAGCGAAAGUGACGGUACCUGCAGAAAAAGCACCGGCUAACUACGUGCCAGCCGCCGCAGUAA